RNAcentral lists this ribosomal RNA (378 nucleotides) under uncultured eukaryote. RNAcentral describes it as "partial 18S ribosomal RNA". It matches the Rfam family "Eukaryotic small subunit ribosomal RNA", at positions 592 to 976 of the family's 1831-position model. The record is from RNAcentral.
CAAUAGCGUAUAUUAAAGUUGUUGCGGUUAAAAAGCUCGUAGUUGGAUUUCUGUUGAGGAAGUCCGGUCCGCACUUUGUGCGUGAUCUGGUUCUGCCUCGGCAUCCUCGCGGGGCACAUGCUGCGCUUGAUUGCGUGGUGUGGUAUUCGCGACUUUUACUUUGAGGAAAUUAGAGUGUUCACGGCAGACAAUUGUCUUGAAUACGUUAGCAUGGAAUAAUAAUAUAGGACCUUGGUUCUAUUUUGUUGGUUUCUAGAACUAAGGUAAUGAUUAAUAGGGAUAAUUGGGGGCAUUUGUAUUAACACGUCAGAGGUGAAAUUCUUGGAUUGUGUUACGACAAACUACUGCGAAAGCAUUUGCCAAGGAUGUUUUCAUUGA